AUGCCUCGGUUGUCCGAGAAUCGAUGCCUAAAGGGGGAUACUGCCUCGGUUCUGAAAACAACCGAGUCAGAAAACUUUGAUUCCACUUGCAAAAAGGACUUUUCACUUGACAACUUUUCUGAUAUAAAGAUUUUCACCUCCACAUUUUCUCUCGACCCAACCACCUCCCUCUUCUCUGACUCACUCUCAUCAACCAUUGUCAACCCCUCGUCCCUCCUCUACUUCUCCUCCAUCGCCCCCCUCCUUUUCUUCACCAUCGCCUUUGUCUCCUCCUCCAUCUCCCCCCUCAUUUUCUUCACCGCGCCCCUCCUCCUCCCUUCCCAACCCCAACACCGCCACCACCACCAACAACCCCAACACCACCAGGCGACGCCCAAUGGUGCUCCCUCUGCGAUCUCUUCUACCUCGUCUUCAAAAACGUCGACGACAAGCUCAAGCCACACAUCGCCCUCUCCAAUCUCUCCCUACCCUCCGACUGCGCCACCGCCAUGGUCCUCUCCCGCCUCGCCCACGGCCUCUCCGCCAAAACCCUCACUACCCGCUACUCCCUCGAUCCGUACCUCGUCUCCAAAAUCACCAACAUGGUCACCUGCCUCCUCGAUCCGCUACCCGUUGGUCACCGCUGCCUCCUCGAGACCACCCAGGCCGUUGAGGAACUCACAUCCCUCCCCAACAUGUGCAGCGCCAUCGACACCACCCCCGUCAACCUCCGCUCCACCCCCAAAAGCAACCCUAACCUCAACCCCUACCGCUGCCGCUACGGCUACCCCUCUCUUUUCCUCCAGGUCGUCUCCGAUCACAAGAUCUUCUGGGACGUCUGCGUCAAGGCCCCCAACGGCACCAACAACGCCACCCACUUCCGCGACAGCCUCCUCUACCGCCCUCUACUGCCCUUUCUCCUCUUCCUGAUCUCUCCCAAUGGGAUGGGCACCCCCGCGCAGAACCUGUUCGAUGAAAUGCUCAUGAAGGGAAGGAGUGUAUGGGGCAGUGUUUGACUUUGCCAAUCCA
RNA transcript from Vigna angularis (adzuki bean), 1008 nucleotides. RefSeq lists it as uncharacterized. The record is from RefSeq and is a predicted model, not a curated record. Lineage: Eukaryota; Viridiplantae; Streptophyta; Magnoliopsida; Fabales; Fabaceae. The transcript has 2 exons.